AAAUUGAUCCAAAUCUGAAGCAAAUCGAUCCAUGUUUCAGCCUUUUUUUUUUUCUUGACUUAAAGCCCCCAAAUCGAAGAUAGGGUUCGAUUUCUUUCUCAAUUCUCAGUCUCUCUCUGCCUCUCUGUCGUUUUGAACCAAAACUGGAGGCUCCUUGCUCCCGUCUCUUUCUCUCAGUUUCUCUGCCUCUCUCUGCGGUCCGGCCGCACUAUUCUCAGCGGCUCAACCUCUCUCCGACUGUCUAAGUCGCCGGUGACGCCUGGAGUCUUGAUCGAGUGAAACAGUGAGAGAAAGUACCCAGAAGCUGAAGAAGGAGAAUGAAAAGGUUGGUGUUGUUUAGAGGAGCUGUGUUGUGGGUUGACUUUGCUUCCUGGAGGCAGCAAAUGUUGUUGCUCAACUCUGCAGCUCUUACUGGGGCGCAGCGAGGACAGCUGCGGUCGGUGAUGCAGGCGCAGGGGCGGUCUGGCCAGUGAGGCCGAUCAAGCAGCAAAGCAGAAGACUUGGUUUGAUUGCUGGGUUCUUCAAGCUCGGUGAUUCUUUUAAUCUCUUGUUAAGUUGCUGGGUAUUGUAUGAAACUGUGAAUGUUAGAAUGUAAUCAGUGUUUGAAACUUUGAAUGUUGAUGGGUAUUGUAUGGACUGUUCUGUUUUGCAGCUUUUGCUUAAUUGAAUAUUUGUCCAUUUUGGAUGGGAGUCAUGGGACUUGAUUAAUUGAAUUUGGCCUCAGUGAAUCAGAAUAUAAUCAAUUGACACUUGACAGGUUGUAUACUUGUAUAUUUGGCCGUUUUAGAUGGGAGUCAUGGGACUUGAUUAGUUGAUUAUAUGUUAUAAAAAUAAAAUUAAAAACUAACAAAAAUAAUAUAGAGACUUUAUGUGCAUGUCUGUUAUAUAUCUCAUGAUGGUUCAAUGGCUAAACUAUAGAGACUUUUGAUUAAUUGUACUGGAAUCAUUAAUAUAUAAUUUUUUGUUAGUUGCAGAGAAAGGGGAUUUGCUGACUGAUGACAUUCUGCCCAUCUUGGAUCUUUUUAUGGUUCUACACAAGGUUAUUAAUUAGGUGUUAACACCUAUUUUUGUUUUUCUUAUUUGAUACAAAAGAGCUAGCUUGUUGGCCCCAAGCAAUUCAGAUAUGUUCAUGUUUACAAAAAGUAAAAUUUAGUUUCAAAUAAGAUACCAAAUGAUCCCAAAGUUAAGUUUCUAUCUUCUGAUCAUGAUCAUUCUUGUAACCCUGUAUGACUGUUUUCUUUGUUUGAUGAAGAUCUUUAAGCUCCUCAAGAUCAACACUUGAGCAAUCAAAGUGAACAUAAACUGUGAUGGGAAAGAAAUUCCUUCAGAGAAUUGAAGGUGUUUACCAAGUCAAUAUUGAUGCUGAACAGCAGAGUCACAGUUUCAGGAGUCAUAGACUCUGCCACUUUGAUCAAGAAACUGCUAUGAGCUGGGACACAUUCUGCGAUCCAAAACCAGGAGCAAAAGACCAUCAAUAAUGAAGCAGUCAAGGCAAGUAAAUGAAGCAAUGCAGCACCAACAACCACAAAUGAUGUAUCACAGAUAUGUCCGACAUGGAUUUCCAGUUGGAUGAUGAUGCCCUACCAUCGAUGCAUGACAGCGUCAAAUUUGUUUUUUGUAAUCCAAGAUUUUGCUAUAAAUGUAAAGAACAUCUUGCUAUGAAUGUAAAGUUUUAAUAUUUUCGAUUCA
This is a long non-coding RNA of Rosa chinensis, 1689 nucleotides long. RefSeq lists it as uncharacterized. The transcript has 4 exons. The record is from RefSeq and is a predicted model, not a curated record. NCBI's taxonomy places the organism in Eukaryota, Viridiplantae, Streptophyta, Magnoliopsida, Rosales, Rosaceae.